Nematostella vectensis (starlet sea anemone) is the source of this 379-nucleotide long non-coding RNA. RefSeq lists it as uncharacterized. The transcript is spliced from 2 exons. NCBI's taxonomy places the organism in Eukaryota, Metazoa, Cnidaria, Anthozoa, Actiniaria, Edwardsiidae. The record is from RefSeq and is a predicted model, not a curated record.
CGUAGCCAUGUCCAGGACAAUGUCGGCUUUGAGGUCUUUCCUGGCAUAGUAGACCUGUCCAGAAAAAAACAUGGAAUAUCUUUGUUGAUCUGUGAGCGAGAAGUAUAAUAAGUGGGAGGUGUAAUAUUUUCUGGGAACAUUCUAGAGGGAGAAACUUGAGACAAAACAAGACUGACCUGUUUGACGGCUCCUCUAAACCCACCAAGCACACCAGCUGCACCACCGCAGUCUCGCUUCAUGCCGGGCAUCCCAGUCUGUCAGAAACAGUCAAACUCUCUUUAGUACAAGAGGUAACAUCCUACAGCUACAGUCAAACUCUCUUUAGUACAAGAGGUAACAUCCUACAGCUACAGUCAAACUCUCUUUAGUACAAGAGUAA